Molecule: long non-coding RNA, 1031 nt
Filed under: Salmo salar (Atlantic salmon)
Lineage: Eukaryota; Metazoa; Chordata; Actinopteri; Salmoniformes; Salmonidae
Description: lncRNA (ENSSSAG00000083248.1)
Source: RNAcentral
UGAACUUUGAAUUGAAAAUGAGCGGUCUGGUAUGUUCAUUGAUGCAGGUCGUUAUUGUAAAAGAGAACGACUAACCUGCUUACAUAUCGUCAGUUAAUGUAUUUUAUAGUAGGUCAUGUGAAUUUACAAAUGUAGUUAUUUUUCUAACCUGACUCUCUCAGGUGCUGUAUUGGGGGCAGGGCUUGCGGCUGGGAGCAGUUUGACUGGUUCUUCAGAGCAGCAGCUGCGUUCUGUACGGACAGAGUUUGUGAAACGAGUGUCAGGACCUGUCUUGGACGGUCUGCUGGACAGACUCCUGCAACACAGUCAUCAACCAGGAGGAAAUGGAGUCAGAGGACCUGAGCCCUAGGACCAUGCCUCAGGACUACCUGGCCUGAUGACUUCUUGCUGUCCCCAGUCCAUCUGGUCAUGCUGCUGUUCCAGUUUUAACUGUUCUGCCUGCGGCUAUGGAACCCUGGCCUGUUCACCGGACGUACUACCUUGUCCCAGACCUGCUGUUUUCAACUCUCUAGAGACAGCAGGAGCGGUAGAGAUACUCUGAAUGAUCGGCAAUGAAAAGCCAACUGACAUUUACUCCUGAGGUGCUGACCUGUUGCACCCUCUACAACCACUGUGAUUAUUAUUAUCUGACCAUGCUGGUCAUCUAUGAACAUUUCAACAUCUUGGCCAUGUACUGUUAUAAUUUCCACCCGGCACAGCCAGAAGAGGACUGGCCACCCCUCAUAGCCUGGUUCCUCUCUAGGUUUCUUCCUAGGUUCCGGCCUUUCUAGGGAGUUUUUCCUAGCCACCGUGCUUCUACACCUGCAUUGCUUGCUGUUUUGAGUUUUAGGCUGGGUUUAAAAGUGUUUAAACAGUUUAAAAGUGGAUUAUUAAGACCUUCAAAGAGAUACAUACACGUUUUGUUUAACACUGUUGGUGGUGCUAUGGGUGUACAGCACUUUGUGACAUCAGCUGAUGUAAGAAGGGCUUCAUAAAUACAUUUGAUUGAUUGAUUUGACCUCAAUUCAAACUGUUGUUCGAAAUAAAACUAG